RNAcentral lists this ribosomal RNA (834 nucleotides) under Escherichia coli. RNAcentral's name for it is "partial 23S ribosomal RNA". It matches the Rfam family "Bacterial large subunit ribosomal RNA", at positions 396 to 1230 of the family's 2925-position model. Lineage: Bacteria; Pseudomonadati; Pseudomonadota; Gammaproteobacteria; Enterobacterales; Enterobacteriaceae. The record is from RNAcentral.
GCUGUGAGCUCGAUGAGUAGGGCGGGACACGUGGUAUCCUGUCUGAAUAUGGGGGGACCAUCCUCCAAGGCUAAAUACUCCUGACUGACCGAUAGUGAACCAGUACCGUGAGGGAAAGGCGAAAAGAACCCCGGCGAGGGGAGUGAAAAAGAACCUGAAACCGUGUACGUACAAGCAGUGGGAGCACGCUUAGGCGUGUGACUGCGUACCUUUUGUAUAAUGGGUCAGCGACUUAUAUUCUGUAGCAAGGUUAACCGAAUAGGGGAGCCGAAGGGAAACCGAGUCUUAACUGGGCGUUAAGUUGCAGGGUAUAGACCCGAAACCCGGUGAUCUAGCCAUGGGCAGGUUGAAGGUUGGGUAACACUAACUGGAGGACCGAACCGACUAAUGUUGAAAAAUUAGCGGAUGACUUGUGGCUGGGGGUGAAAGGCCAAUCAAACCGGGAGAUAGCUGGUUCUCCCCGAAAGCUAUUUAGGUAGCGCCUCGUGAAUUCAUCUCCGGGGGUAGAGCACUGUUUCGGCAAGGGGGUCAUCCCGACUUACCAACCCGAUGCAAACUGCGAAUACCGGAGAAUGUUAUCACGGGAGACACACGGCGGGUGCUAACGUCCGUCGUGAAGAGGGAAACAACCCAGACCGCCAGCUAAGGUCCCAAAGUCAUGGUUAAGUGGGAAACGAUGUGGGAAGGCCCAGACAGCCAGGAUGUUGGCUUAGAAGCAGCCAUCAUUUAAAGAAAGCGUAAUAGCUCACUGGUCGAGUCGGCCUGCGCGGAAGAUGUAACGGGGCUAAACCAUGCACCGAAGCUGCGGCAGCGACGCUGAUGCGUUGUUGGGUA